AUGGGAAAGAACGAUAAAGAAAUUAAACUGUCGGUUGGGGCACUUAAACACAUGGAGAUUGACCAUUUAAAGGUUUCUCCGAAGUGUAAUAACACCCUAUCUAACCCCGAAACCGAGGAGGAUGAUGAAGCGGAUGCCAAAUAUGAUGGUUCGCUAGUCUCCCACUUGGUUGGUGAUAUUACCGAGGUUGGUUUGGAUGACGCAAGAUCUGGGUCCAUGUUUUGUGACUUCACAGCAUCUUUGCGGAAAUCUAAAUCACAAUCCUCUAAAAAGAAACAAAAACCGCCCAAGAAGGCGAAAAUUUUCACACCAAUCCGAGUUUCCACAUGA
RNAcentral lists this ribosomal RNA (330 nucleotides) under Triticum aestivum (bread wheat). RNAcentral's name for it is "partial small subunit ribosomal RNA". The record is from RNAcentral. Lineage: Eukaryota; Viridiplantae; Streptophyta; Magnoliopsida; Poales; Poaceae.